This 484-nucleotide ribosomal RNA is filed under the name uncultured bacterium. RNAcentral describes it as "bacterial SSU rRNA". It matches the Rfam family "Bacterial small subunit ribosomal RNA", at positions 29 to 507 of the family's 1533-position model. The record is from RNAcentral.
AUUGAACGCUGGCGGCAUGCUUUACACAUGCAAGUCGAACGGUAACAGGGAGCUUGCUCCGCUGACGAGUGGCGAACGGGUGAGUAAUGCAUCGGAACGUACCCAGUCGUGGGGGAUAACGUAGCGAAAGUUACGCUAAUACCGCAUACGUCCUGAGGGAGAAAGCGGGGGACCGAAAGGCCUCGCGCGAUUGGAGCGGCCGAUGUCGGAUUAGCUAGUUGGUGGGGUAAAGGCCUACCAAGGCGACGAUCCGUAGCGGGUCUGAGAGGAUGAUCCGCCACACUGGGACUGAGACACGGCCCAGACUCCUACGGGAGGCAGCAGUGGGGAAUUUUGGACAAUGGGCGAAAGCCUGAUCCAGCCAUGCCGCGUGAGUGAAGAAGGCCUUCGGGUUGUAAAGCUCUUUCAGACGGAAAGAAAUGGCUCCGGAUAAUACCUGGAGUCGAUGACGGUACCGUAAGAAGAAGCACCGGCUAACUACGUG